RNAcentral lists this ribosomal RNA (482 nucleotides) under uncultured bacterium. RNAcentral's name for it is "partial 16S ribosomal RNA". It matches the Rfam family "Bacterial small subunit ribosomal RNA", at positions 30 to 507 of the family's 1533-position model. The record is from RNAcentral.
AUUGAACGCUGGCGGCAUGCCUUACACAUGCAAGUCGAACGGUAACAGGCCUUCGGGUGCCGACGAGUGGCGAACGGGUGAGUAAUACAUCGGAACGUGCCCGAGCGAGGGGGAUAACGAGGCGAAAGCUUUGCUAAUACCGCAUACGAUCUACGGAUGAAAGCAGGGGACCGCAAGGCCUUGCGCGGACGGAGCGGCCGAUGGCAGAUUAGGUAGUUGGUGGGAUAAAAGCUUACCAAGCCGACGAUCUGUAGCUGGUCUGAGAGGAUGAUCAGCCACACUGGGACUGAGACACGGCCCAGACUCCUACGGGAGGCAGCAGUGGGGAACUUUGGACAAUGGGCGCAAGCCUGAUCCAGCCAUGCCGCGUGCAGGAUGAAGGCCUUCGGGUUGUAAACUGCUUUUGUACGGAACGAAAAGCCUUCUUUUAAUACAGGAGGGUCAUGACGGUACCGUAAGAAUAAGCACCGGCUAACUACGUG